AGAUUGAACGCUGGCGGCAUGCUUUACACAUGCAAGUCGAACGGUAACAGGCCGCAAGGUGCUGACGAGUGGCGAACGGGUGAGUAAUGCAUCGGAACGUGCCCAGUCGUGGGGGAUAACGCAGCGAAAGCUGUGCUAAUACCGCAUACGAUCUAUGGAUGAAAGCGGGGGACCGAAAGGCCUCGCGCGAUUGGAGCGGCCGAUGUCAGAUUAGCUAGUUGGUGGGGUAAAGGCCCACCAAGGCGACGAUCUGUAGCUGGUCUGAGAGGACGACCAGCCACACUGGAACUGAGACACGGUCCAGACUCCUACGGGAGGCAGCAGUGGGGAAUUUGGACAAUGGGCGCAAGCCUGAUCCAGCAAUGCCGCGUGCAGGAAGAAGGCCUUCGGGUUGUAACCUCUUCAGCG
RNAcentral lists this ribosomal RNA (408 nucleotides) under uncultured soil bacterium. Its description in RNAcentral is "bacterial SSU rRNA". It matches the Rfam family "Bacterial small subunit ribosomal RNA", at positions 26 to 439 of the family's 1533-position model. The record is from RNAcentral.